CCUACGGGCGGCAGCAGUGAGGAAUAUUGGUCAAUGGACGAGAGUCUGAACCAGCCAAGUAGCGUGAAGGAUGACUGCCCUAUGGAUUGUAAACUUCUUUUAUAUGGGAGUAAAAUGUUCCACGUGUGGGGUUUUGUAUGUACCAUAUGAAUAAGCAUCGGCUAACUCCGUGCCAGCAGCCGCGGUAAUACGGAGGAUUCGAGCGUUAUCCGGAUUUAUUGGGUUUAAAGGGAGCGUAGGUGGGUUGUUAAGUCAGUGGUGAAAGUUUGCGGCCCAACCUUAAAAUUGCAGUUGAAACUGGUAGUCUUGAGUAAAGUAGAGGUGGGCGGAAUUCGUGGUGUAGCGGUGAAAUGCUUAGAUAUCACGAAGAACUCCGAUUGCGAAGGCAGCUUACUGGCCUGCAACUGACGCUGAGGCACGAAAGUGUGGGUAUCAAACAGGAUUAGAUACCCUGGUAGUC
RNAcentral lists this ribosomal RNA (460 nucleotides) under uncultured bacterium. Its description in RNAcentral is "partial 16S ribosomal RNA". It matches the Rfam family "Bacterial small subunit ribosomal RNA", at positions 338 to 795 of the family's 1533-position model. The record is from RNAcentral.